UAUACCGUGCCCAUGACUGUAG
RNAcentral lists this microRNA (22 nucleotides) under Gossypium arboreum. RNAcentral's name for it is "gar-miR2947". Lineage: Eukaryota; Viridiplantae; Streptophyta; Magnoliopsida; Malvales; Malvaceae. The record is from miRBase by way of RNAcentral.